CCUACGGGAGGCAGCAGUGAGGAAUAUUGGUCAAUGGCCGAGAGGCUGAACCAGCCAAGUCGCGUGAGGGAAGAAUGUCCUAUGGAUUGUAAACCUCUUUUGUCAGGGAGCAAAGUCACCCACGUGUGGGUGUUGCAGAGUACCUGAAGAAAAAGCAUCGGCUAACUACUUGCCAGCAGCCGCGGUAAUACGGAGGAUGCGAGCGUUAUCCGGAGGUAGUGGGUUUAAAGGGUGCGUAGGCGGGUUAUCAAGUCAGCGGUAAAAGCGUGGAGCUCAACUCCAUCCAGCCGUUGAAACUGAUGAUCUUGAGUGGGCGAGAAGUAUGCGGAAUGCGUGGUGUAGCGGUGAAAUGCAUAGAUAUCACGCAGAACUCCGAUGGCGAAGGCAGCAUACCGGCGCCCGACUGACGCUGAAGCACGAAAGCGUGGGUAGCGAACAGGAUUAGAUACCCGGGUAGUC
This 459-nucleotide ribosomal RNA is filed under the name uncultured bacterium. RNAcentral's name for it is "partial 16S ribosomal RNA". It matches the Rfam family "Bacterial small subunit ribosomal RNA", at positions 338 to 795 of the family's 1533-position model. The record is from RNAcentral.